UCUGCAAUGCUGACUAAAUGCAAAGCAUGCAUUCCCGACCUGCAACAUUAAACUUAUGGCUCUUGAGACAUUCUCUUAUACUCAUAACAAAACAAUCAUCUCUAGAUUUUUUAUUCGUAUUGUAUUGUCUAUUUAAUGUUUGUAUUUGAGGAUGUGCUCUGGUUCUCUCUCAGCUAAGCCAGAUGCUCGAUGGCGAACUCCCCUCUCUGGACUGUGUUGAGGUCGAGCCUCAGAGAGAGGCCCUCCAGGGCAUACUGGAUGUCCUGUCUGACAAUGGACUGGAGACCGAGGACCCCAACAGUCCUCUUGGUGCUUUUCACCUCGUUACCAGUGCCCUGGCUGAAAUGCCGGAUGACGGCCUUGCUGUCCUGGUGUCGAGCUGCACUCCCCCAGAUCCCAAGAUGCUGAGAUCCCUGGAGCUGCUGGUAUGUAUUACAUUGCUCUGGUGAAUAUUAUGAAGUAACACAAUGUAUAAUCAUGCCAUCAGG
RNAcentral lists this long non-coding RNA (488 nucleotides) under Gadus morhua (Atlantic cod). RNAcentral describes it as "lncRNA (ENSGMOG00000034448.1)". The record is from RNAcentral. Lineage: Eukaryota; Metazoa; Chordata; Actinopteri; Gadiformes; Gadidae.